Molecule: long non-coding RNA, 149 nt
Organism: Thalassophryne amazonica
Lineage: Eukaryota; Metazoa; Chordata; Actinopteri; Batrachoidiformes; Batrachoididae
Exons: 3
Source: RefSeq, a predicted model, not a curated record
CAAAAAUAUGCUUGGAUUUUUGUUUGUUUGCCAUUAAAAUUGGCUAUCACUUCUCAAAAUAAUAUAACUUCUCAAGGCCAGGGAUCCUCAAUGUCUGGAGACUAAUUAGUCACAGUGCAGCAAACGAGGUAAGCUGGCUGACUGAAUCA